UACGUAGGGUGCGAGCGUUGUCCGGAAUUAUUGGGCGUAAAGAGCUCGUAGGCGGUUCAGCAAGUCGGGUGUGAAAACUCUGGGCUCAACCCAGAGACGCCACCCGAUACUGCUGUGACUAGAGUCCGGUAGGGGAGUGGGGAAUUCCUGGUGUAGCGGUGAAAUGCGCAGAUAUCAGGAGGAACACCGGUGGCGAAGGCGCCACUCUGGGCCGGCACUGACGCUGAGGAGCGAAAGCGUGGGUAGCAAACAGG
Molecule: ribosomal RNA, 254 nt
Filed under: uncultured bacterium
Lineage: Bacteria
Description: partial 16S ribosomal RNA
Rfam family: Bacterial small subunit ribosomal RNA
Source: RNAcentral